Small nucleolar RNA from Cricetulus griseus (Chinese hamster), 130 nucleotides. Ensembl annotates it as small nucleolar RNA SNORA44. The record is from Ensembl. NCBI's taxonomy places the organism in Eukaryota, Metazoa, Chordata, Mammalia, Rodentia, Cricetidae.
CACAAUGUUUCCAAGGGCGUUGGCUCUCCAUUAUGGCCAUGGGAUCUCAAACUAUAUCACAGAGUAACAUGGAGACACCCCAACAGCUCAGGUCAGCACAGUGCCUGCUGCUGCUACUCAUCUUAGAGAG